GAUGAACGCUAGCGGCAGGCCUAACACAUGCAAGUCGAGGGGUAACAGGGAAAAGCUUGCUUUUCCGCUGACGACCGGCGCACGGGUGCGUAACGCGUAUGCAACCUACCUUUUACAGGAGUAUAGCCCAGAGAAAUUUGGAUUAAUCCUCCAUAAUAUUUUAUUCAUGCAUAUGAUAAAGAUUAAAGUUUCGGCGGUAAAAGAUGGGCAUGCGUUUUAUUAGCUAGUAGGUGAGGUAAUGGCUCACCUAGGCCACGAUAAAUAGGGGCCCUGAGAGGGGGAUCCCCCACACUGGUACUGAGACACGGACCAGACUCCUACGGGAGGCAGCAGUGAGGAAUAUUGGACAAUGGACGAAAGUCUGAUCCAGCCAUGCCGCGUGCAGGAUGACGGCCCUAUGGGUUGUAAACUGCUUUUAUACAGGAAGAAAAACUCCGACGUGUCGGAACUUGACGGUACUGUAAGAAUAAGGAUCGGCUAACUCCGUGCCAGCAGCCGCGUAAAC
This 505-nucleotide ribosomal RNA is filed under the name uncultured bacterium. RNAcentral describes it as "bacterial SSU rRNA". It matches the Rfam family "Bacterial small subunit ribosomal RNA", at positions 28 to 524 of the family's 1533-position model. The record is from RNAcentral.